GUCUACAGCCAUGCCACCCUCAAUAAGCCCGAUCCCAUCUGAUCUCCAAAGCUAAGCAGGAUCGGGGCUGGUUAGUACUUGGAUGGGGGACCACCUAGGAAGACCAGGUGCUGUAGGCA
Ribosomal RNA from Pteropus vampyrus (large flying fox), 119 nucleotides. The record is from Ensembl. NCBI's taxonomy places the organism in Eukaryota, Metazoa, Chordata, Mammalia, Chiroptera, Pteropodidae.